Molecule: transfer RNA, 91 nt
Filed under: Eubacteriales Family XIII. Incertae Sedis bacterium
Lineage: Bacteria; Bacillati; Bacillota; Clostridia; Peptostreptococcales; Anaerovoracaceae
Description: tRNA-Ser
Rfam family: tRNA
About the family: Transfer RNA (tRNA) molecules are approximately 80 nucleotides in length. Their secondary structure includes four short double-helical elements and three loops (D, anti-codon, and T loops). Further hydrogen bonds mediate the characteristic L-shaped molecular structure. tRNAs have two regions of fundamental functional importance: the anti-codon, which is responsible for specific mRNA codon recognition, and the 3' end, to which the tRNAs corresponding amino acid is attached (by aminoacyl-tRNA synthetases). tRNAs cope with the degeneracy of the genetic code in two manners: having more than one tRNA (with a specific anti-codon) for a particular amino acid; and 'wobble' base-pairing, i.e. permitting non-standard base-pairing at the 3rd anti-codon position.
Source: RNAcentral
GGAGGAGUAGCGAAGUGGUCAUAACGCGGCGCACUCGAAAUGCGUUUACGGGGUAACUCGUACGUGGGUUCGAAUCCCACUUCCUCCGCCA